UAAAUAAUUAUAGCGCCCGAACUAAGUUUUAAAGGUUAAAUUAAAUUUAGUUGACGAGGAAAAAAGUUAUCGAAAAUUCGGCGGAUACUUUUUCGGGCUGGAUGCUCGUUAGGUAGCAUACAAAAACACAAAAUUGCUACUGUCAUCUAAU
This 151-nucleotide non-coding RNA is filed under the name Gemelliphila asaccharolytica. RNAcentral describes it as "Gemella asaccharolytica GlcN6P sequence". It matches the Rfam family "glmS glucosamine-6-phosphate activated ribozyme aptamer". From Rfam's summary of the family: This entry contains a glucosamine-6-phosphate activated ribozyme that is found in the mRNA for GlmS. GlmS is an enzyme that uses fructose-6-phosphate and glutamine to generate glucosamine-6-phosphate. The record is from RNAcentral. Lineage: Bacteria; Bacillati; Bacillota; Bacilli; Caryophanales; Gemellaceae.